Nostoc sp. NIES-3756 is the source of this 97-nucleotide non-coding RNA. Lineage: Bacteria; Bacillati; Cyanobacteriota; Cyanophyceae; Nostocales; Nostocaceae. The record is from Rfam.
CAUCCAUGCUAGGGGUGCUUGCACCGACAGGCUGAGAUCACACCCUUAACACCUGAGUCUGGGUAAUACCAGCGAAGGGAAGCUGUUUAUUGAGGAA